Molecule: ribosomal RNA, 254 nt
Filed under: uncultured bacterium
Lineage: Bacteria
Description: partial 16S ribosomal RNA
Rfam family: Bacterial small subunit ribosomal RNA
Source: RNAcentral
GACAGAGGGUGCGAACGUUGUUCGGAAUUACUGGGCGUAAAGCGCAUGUAGGCGGCAGCGCAAGUCGGGCGUGAAAUCCCACGGCUCAACCGUGGAAGUGCACUCGAAACUGCGCAGCUAGAGUCCUGGAGAGGAAGGUGGAAUGCUUGGUGUAGAGGUGAAAUUCGUAGAUAUCAAGCGGAACACCGGUGGCGAAGGCGGCCUUCUGGGACAGUGACUGACGCUGAGAUGCGAAAGCGUGGGGAGCAACAGGG